This 393-nucleotide ribosomal RNA is filed under the name uncultured bacterium. Its description in RNAcentral is "bacterial SSU rRNA". It matches the Rfam family "Bacterial small subunit ribosomal RNA", at positions 30 to 428 of the family's 1533-position model. The record is from RNAcentral.
AUUGAACGCUGGCGGCAUGCCUUACACAUGCAAGUCGAACGGUAACGGGCCUUCGGUGCCGACGAGUGGCGAACGGGUGAGUAAUGUAUCGGAACGUACCUUUCAGUGGGGGAUAACGUAGCGAAAGUUACGCUAAUACCGCAUAUUCUGUGAGCAGGAAAGCAGGGGAUCGCAAGACCUUGCGCUGAUUGAGCGGCCGAUAUCAGAUUAGCUAGUUGGUGAGGUAAAGGCUCACCAAGGCGACGAUCUGUAGCGGGUCUGAGAGGAUGAUCCGCCACACUGGAACUGAGACACGGUCCAGACUCCUACGGGAGGCAGCAGUGGGGAAUUUUGGACAAUGGGCGCAAGCCUGAUCCAGCCAUGCCGCGUGAGUGAAGAAGGCCUCGGUUGUAA